Molecule: ribosomal RNA, 274 nt
Filed under: uncultured bacterium
Lineage: Bacteria
Description: partial 16S ribosomal RNA
Rfam family: Bacterial small subunit ribosomal RNA
Source: RNAcentral
AUACGGAGGGUGCAAGUGUUACUCGGAAUCACUGGGCGUAAAGCGCGCGCAGGCGGGCUGAUAAGUUGGAUGUGAAAGCCUACGGCUCAACCGUAGAACUGCAUCCAAAACUGUCAGUCUAGAGUCUGGGAGGGGAAGAUGGAAUUAGUUGUGUAGGGGUAAAAUCCGUAGAGAUAACUAGGAAUACCAAAAGCGAAGGCGAUCUUCUGGAACAGUACUGACGCUGAGGCGCGAAAGCGUGGGGAGCAAACAGAAUUAGAAACCCCAGUAGUCC